AGUGGCAGACGGGUGAGUAACAUGUGGGUAUCUACCCUUUGGCCUGGAAUAACACGAGGAAACUUGUGCUAAUACCGGAUAAGUCUUUACGGAGAAAGCUUUAUGCACCAUUGGAUGAGCCCGCACUUGAUUAGUUUGUUGGUAGGGUAAUGGCCUACCAAGACUAUGAUCAAUAGCUGAUUUGAGAGGAUGAUCAGCCACAUUGGGACUGAGACACGGCCCAAACUCCUACGGGAGGCAGCAGUGGGGAAUCUUGCACAAUGGAGGAAACUCUGAUGCAGCGAUGCCGCGUGAGUGAAGAAGGCCUUUGGGUUGUAAAGCUCUUUCGUCGGGGAAGAAAAUGACUGUACCCGAAUAAGAAGGUCCGGCUAACUUCGUGCCAGCAGCCGCGGUAAUACGAAGGGACCUAGCGUAGUUCGGAAUUACUGGGCUUAAAGAGUUCGUAGGUGGUUGAAAAAGUUGGUGGUGAAAUCCCAGAGCUUAACUCUGGAACUGCCAUCAAAACUUUUCAGCUAGAGUAUGAUAGAGGAAAGCAGAAUUUCUAGUGUAGAGGUGAAAUUCGUAGAUAUUAGAAAGAAUACCAAUUGCGAAGCAGCUUUCUGGAUCAUUACUGACACUGAGGAACGAAGCAUGGUAGCGAGAGGAUUAGAUACCCUCGUAGUCCAUGCCGA
RNAcentral lists this ribosomal RNA (671 nucleotides) under uncultured bacterium. Its description in RNAcentral is "bacterial SSU rRNA". It matches the Rfam family "Bacterial small subunit ribosomal RNA", at positions 94 to 803 of the family's 1533-position model. The record is from RNAcentral.